UAUUGAACUCACAAAUCACAUCACACAUCUAUAUUUUUUAGAGAUUAGUUCGAGAGAGAAUUUGAUUUGCAUGAAAUUUAUUUGAUAUUGAGUAAAUAAUUUUCGUCAUAAAUUCAACGUAUAAUAUAUUAAAUUACUUCUAAAAUAAAUAAAACAUCACUCAACGACAAAUAAAAAAAAGAAAUAUUCUUAUUACAAUUGCUUAAUUUUCUCAUUAUAAAAUUAGGAAUAUAGAAUCCAUCAUUAGCAAAAAACACAAUUUGGAAAAUUUAAAUUAUAUGAUACAUAUGACUCAUAACAUAAGUAUUAUGAUGAUCAAUGCAAUCCUUUUAGUUUUCUCAACCGAAAUUUUUGAUUGAAAUGCUAAAAUUUUAACACAGGCCGGGAAUAAAAGUUCAUAAAAACAUGAUACAAAUUAUAUGCAAUAUAUAACAUUUUAUUUAGUAAACUUCAGAUGUUAGGUGUGAUCGGUCACCAUCGCCUUUCACCGGCAUAAAGCAUUGUCCUACAAAUGCUUUAACACAUACGUUCACAAUAAGUCCCGAUAAGGUGAGGAUCCAUCUCUAACGUUGACCGCAAACAUUUAUUCAUACAGUCGGAAUAGUUACUGGCUUUGACAAAGUGACGAUCACCAUCGAAAACAGAAAUCAAGAUGAGAACCAUUAACACUAUGAUCAUGUUGUUGAUAAUCUUCAUCGUCAAAGCGUCUUUUUUUUUCU
Molecule: long non-coding RNA, 719 nt
Filed under: Linum usitatissimum (flax)
Lineage: Eukaryota; Viridiplantae; Streptophyta; Magnoliopsida; Malpighiales; Linaceae
Description: long non-coding RNA (LUSI_LNC007135)
Source: RNAcentral